GUACCUAUUGCUCCCCAAAGGUGUAUAGAACAAAUAUAAUGUCUAGUUCCCUUUGCCAGACAUUGAAAUGUUUUAGAGUGUAAUAUCCUCUCUCUUCCUCACUCUACCCUUUUCUUCUCUUUCAUUAGUUCAGCCAACAAACAUGGAGCACUUACUGUGCUGACAUAAUCCAGAUGGUUGGUCUUUAUUUCCUAUAGCUAUUCUGAGAACAGACUAUGAACAAAGGACCCUUUCCAGAACGAAUUCUAAUUUGUUUUUGUUCCUGAAAGUAUGACACAAAGAACUAACUUUCUUAUAUUUUAAGUCUUCUAACAGAAAAAGAAGUAAAUAUUGUUUUGCCAACACAUUCCAUCGUUCCAAGAACUUUCGUGCUUAAACCAGGAAUGGUUCUAUUUUUGGGUGCCAUAGGCCGCAUAGAUUUUCUGAAGGUAAGGAAAGUCCGUACCAUUGAAAAAUGACUUUAGUAUUGGGAUUUACUUUAAGGAAGCAGAUAUACAGUCAAGACUAGCAAAAUGUUGAUAACCAGGUCAUGACUAUGUGGGGGUUGGUAUACUAUUCCUUUGUGUGUAUUUGAAAAUGUCUAUAGUAAAAACCUGGGAUAAUGAAAUGGGGGGAAAAAAAGUAAUAGGUCUUAAAAAACUGUAUCUUCAGUAGGCAGUCGAGUGCCCCAUACAGCUUGGCAUUAAGCAAAGAUACUUUCCCUCUCCUGUGGUAUUGUCUUUCAUGGAAAUCAGAGGUCGUACCUUUAAGUGCAGGGUUAAUGUGCAUUAAAUAAAUUCCAUGCUCUUUAUAUUC
Molecule: long non-coding RNA, 795 nt
Organism: Aethalodelphis obliquidens (Pacific white-sided dolphin)
Lineage: Eukaryota; Metazoa; Chordata; Mammalia; Artiodactyla; Delphinidae
Exons: 2
Source: RefSeq, a predicted model, not a curated record